This 538-nucleotide transfer RNA is filed under the name uncultured cyanobacterium. RNAcentral describes it as "partial miscellaneous RNA". The stretch from base 209 to 281 matches the Rfam family "tRNA". The record is from RNAcentral. Lineage: Bacteria; Bacillati; Cyanobacteriota.
CAGGGAGACAACAAAAUGUUAAAUAUUAAUUUUGUCACCUUAGGUCGAUCGGUAUCUCACAUUCUUAAUUUUUUAAGAAUUUUAUUUCCUAAGUUUUUCUAGGUCACACCCAUUAUUUUCCUGGGCCAUUAGCUCAGGUGGUUAGAGCGCACCCCUGAUAAGGGUGAGGUCCCUGGUUCAAGUCCAGGAUGGCCCAUAUCUCUAUGUUGGGGGUAUAGCUCAGUUGGUAGAGCGCCUGCUUUGCAAGCAGGAUGUCAGCGGUUCGAGUCCGCUUACCUCCACUGAUUACCACCUCUCCCAUAAUUUAUACAAGGGAAAUUUUGUGUUGUGAUCAAAUUCGGAACGAAUCUAGCUUCCUAAUCAAACUUAUUAAGAUGCUGGACUCAUUGAAUUAAAUUCAUUGUUUUCAGAGAACCUUGACAACUGCAUAGAUUAUUUUUAAAGACAAUAAGCAUCUUUAAUGAUGCAGAUUUAUUAUUUGUGCAAAUGCAUUAAUAACAAUUCUAUUAAGCUGAUGCUUCAAUUUAAAGAAGUUAUU